RNAcentral lists this ribosomal RNA (503 nucleotides) under uncultured bacterium. Its description in RNAcentral is "partial 16S ribosomal RNA". It matches the Rfam family "Bacterial small subunit ribosomal RNA", at positions 30 to 523 of the family's 1533-position model. The record is from RNAcentral.
AUUGAACGCUGGCGGCAGGCUUAACACAUGCAAGUCGAGCGGAGUGAUGGUGCUUGCACUAUCACUUAGCGGCGGACGGGUGAGUAAUGCUUAGGAAUCUGCCUAUUAGUGGGGGUCAACAUCUCGAAAGGGAUGCUAAUACCGCAUACGUCCUACGGGAGAAAGCAGGGGAUCACUUGUGACCUUGCGCUAAUAGAUGAGCCUAAGUCGGAUUAGCUAGUUGGUGGGGUAAAGGCCUACCAAGGCGACGAUCUGUAGCGGGUCUGAGAGGAUGAUCCGGCACACUGGGACUGAGACACGGCCCGGACUCCUACGGGAGGCAGCAGUGGGGAAUAUUGGACAAUGGGGGGAACCCUGAUCCAGCCAUGCCGCGUGUGUGAAGAAGGCCUUAUGGUUGUAAAGCACUUUAAGCGGGGAGGAGGCUCCUUUGGUUAAUACCCAAGAUGAGUGGACGUUACUCGCAGAAUAAGCACCGGCUAACUCUGUGCCAGCCGCCGCGGUAA